RNAcentral lists this ribosomal RNA (775 nucleotides) under uncultured Neocallimastigales. RNAcentral's name for it is "partial large subunit ribosomal RNA". It matches the Rfam family "Eukaryotic large subunit ribosomal RNA", at positions 23 to 644 of the family's 3401-position model. Lineage: Eukaryota; Fungi; Neocallimastigomycota; Neocallimastigomycetes; Neocallimastigales. The record is from RNAcentral.
AGAGAGAGACAUGCGCGCAUAUCAAUAAGCGGAGGAAAAGAAACUAACAAGGAUUCCCUUAGUAACGGCGAGUGAAGCGGGAAGAGCUCAAAUUUGAAAUCUUCAAGGUUCUACCUUGACGAAUUGUAGUUUAUAGAAGUGUUUUCUGUUAGUGGAGUGGCAAAAGUUCUUUGGAAUAGGACAUCAUAGAGGGUGAGAAUCCCGUAUUUGGUCAUUCCUCCUAGCGUUGUGAUACACUUUCACGAGUCGGAUUGUUUGGGAAUGCAGGUCCAAAAUGGGUGGUAAAUUUCAUCUAAAGCUAAAUAUUGGCGAGAGACCGAUAGCGAACAAGUACCGUGAGGGAAAGAUGAAAAGAACUUUGAAAAGAGAGUUAAACAGUACGUGAAAUUGUCAAAAGGGAAGCGCUUGACACCAGUGUUGUUUUUCCGAAAAUCAAUUACGAAUGUUUUGUUUUUGAGGAGUUAUGACUUCAUCGGCUUGCUCCUUUCUUUACGAAACUUUCUUAAUGCACUUUUCGGUUAACAAGUCAACAUCAAUUUCUUUUGUUGUAAAAGGGUAUGAGGAAGGUGGCUUUCUUUUCGGAGAAAGUGUUUAUAGCCUUGUGCCUCUGCAAUCGGAGAGAUUGAGGUCUGCAGCGUAGAUCCUUCGGGGUUAGAUACAGUUUGUGCUAAGUUAUAGCUUUUCAUAGACAACUUGUUGACUAUGUUUAGUCUUGUAGCUUACUCGCUGACGCUAUUUUACCUACGCUUAGGAUGUUGAUAGUCACAGCGUGUAC